ACUUCUAUAGUUUUAAUGAUCUGUGAUUACUUUAAAAUGUACCGUAUAUGGGUGAAAUGGUCAUUUUUCCAUUCCAUUACUGUUUUUUUAAAAGAUUUAUUUAUUUGAAAGAGUUACACAGAGAGAGGAGAGGCAGAGACAGAGAGACAGAGAGAGAGAGAGAGGUCUUCCAACCGCUAGUUCACUCCCCAAAUGGCCACAAGCUCCAAAGCCAGGAGCCAGAGCUUCUUCCAGGUCUCCCACGUGGGUGCAGAGGACCAAGGACCUAGGCCAUUUUCUACUGCUUUCCCAGGCCACAGCAGAGAGCUGGAUCAGAAGUGGAGCAGCUGGGACUCGAACCAGCGCCCAUAUGGGAUGCCGGCACUGCAGGUGGUGGCUCUACCCACUGCGCCACAGCGCUGGCCCCUCAAUUCCUGUUCAAAGCAAUUGUCUAUAUUCCUGCUAAACUAGGGGCUUCUUGCUUUUUACUCGUUAAACUUCCUGUUCGCUGGAGUACUAAGCCUUCUUUCUGUACUGUGAAGUUAAAAUAUGUUAUCUCAAAAACUAGACAGAAAGGGACCAGGAAGGAGGGUGGGAGGGGAAUACCACGUCUUGGAAUUGCAUCUGCAAACCACAUCGGAUCUGUUGAACACUGGACUGAAGAGCCCAGUCACCCAGCCCACUCUGCGGAGACGCCUCGGCCCCCGGAGCAGCUCGGCUGGUUUAGAGCCACAUCCCUGCUGUAAAUACUCCAUACGGAAUUCGAGGGAUUUAGGUCCCGGUUCAACGACAGCGAUGUCGCUGCUGAGCCGGGAACACAGCACGGGCAAUGCAGCCGCGGAAACCACCGAACGCGAUCGGCGGGGAGAGGCGGCGGAGCUGAGCGGGGCAGGACGGCAGAGGCGGGCAGGACGGCAGCGCGAGGCCGGCUCCACGCACGCUCCGCGCCGGCUUUGCGGGGCUACUCGGGCGGCAGCAGCUGUGGGCAGGCCUCCCACCCAGGCCCCUCAGACGAGGCCAGGGCAGUAUGGGAGCAUCUCCGGCUCUCAGCACCACCUACUUACUCUGAAAGAUCCAGAUCUCCAGAAAGAAGACAAAAAGGGGUCACAGAGGGUGUGGCCUGCAGCUAAGGUUCUGUCCGCAAUGCCGGCAUCCCAUAUGAAUGCAAGUUCGAGUCCUGGCUGCUCCACUUCUGAUCCAGCUUCCUGCUGUGGCCUGGGAAAGCAGCUGAAGAUGGCCCAAGUGCUGGGUCCCUGCACCCGUGUGGGAGACCCAGGAAGAAGCUCCUGGCUCCUGGCUUCAGAUCAACCCAGCUCCAGCCACUGUGGCCAUUUGGGGAGUGAACCAGCAGAUGGAAGACCUCUCUCUGUCUCUCGCCCUUCCCCUCUCUCUCUGUAA
This 1377-nucleotide long non-coding RNA is filed under the name Oryctolagus cuniculus (rabbit). RNAcentral describes it as "lncRNA (ENSOCUG00000030934.1)". The record is from RNAcentral. Lineage: Eukaryota; Metazoa; Chordata; Mammalia; Lagomorpha; Leporidae.